This is a long non-coding RNA of Python bivittatus (Burmese python), 11169 nucleotides long. RefSeq lists it as uncharacterized. The record is from RefSeq and is a predicted model, not a curated record. Lineage: Eukaryota; Metazoa; Chordata; Lepidosauria; Squamata; Pythonidae.
GCACGUCAUACUUCGGUAAAUUUACACAGAUAUUAGAACGGCUGUUCUUUACCUCUCAGUGUGUGUAUAUUGUGUGUGUGUGUGCGUGUGUGUGCGCGUGUGUGUUUCCUCUGCUCCUUUUGAGCCAUUGUGCUUAACUGAAUUUUAUAACGCUGAUCGAUAUCUUGGUAAAAUAUUCAUUUUUAAACUAGCGGGCAGUGAAAUCUUUGCUUUGUGCUAAAGUCAACAGUCGCUCCAAUAAAUGCAGCGAUGCCUUUCCGCGGAAUUGCAGACGGUGAGGUAUCUGGCUUGUCAUCGCCUCUGCGAUCUGCAGCUCUCUGGCAUCAGUUCAAAAGAAACGAGGAAACACAACUGUACACAGGUUUACCCACUGAACGCAAUGCCACUUCCUUCCAGGAAAGGGCAAGAUCCAGCUGAAAUCACUCACCUCCCCACCCCACUGGCUUCCAGUGAAAUCUGCUGAAGUCAAUGGAACUCAAAGAAGUAAGAAUCGGAUAUAUCAACAGAAGCAUAAAAAGAAGUUAAAUGCAGUGAAAUGAGGUGGUGGAGCGAAGGAAGGAAAACAGCUCGCGCCUCAUCUGGCUCAGCAGGGGAAGGCCCGCCCAGCGGCUGCGAGGCUCAGGCGAGAUUCCCGCAGGAGCCCAGUCCGCCAGCAAACUCCCCAGGAGAUUUUAUCGGCCAAGUGGGUAAUUGGGGGCUUCCUUAUCCUUCGGCCUCUUCGACAUGCCAUGGAUUUUUGCUCGACUGUUUGAUUGGAAGAAGACAAGCCAACAAGCACACAAACAAUGAGCAGGCGAGGCGCCCCAGGAAGCCAUCGCUACUUUGAACUAAAGUUGCCAACUCCUUUUAUAUUUGCUGCUCCUGCGCCUUUAGCAAUGCCGAGGAAGGCAGGCUUUCCAUCGCCACCAUGGCGAUUAGGUGACGCCAUGAGAUCUGUACACCAUCAGAGAAGUAAGAACCCAAGAAAAAUGCAGCGGCUGUCGCUUUUCCCGCCCUCCAGUUUAGGGUCACCUGCUGUGAUUUACCCUAUCCAGGCACUGGUAAAGCGGCGGCAGCCGCGGCAGGAAAGUGGCAAUCCUAUAUUUACGCUACCCGAAUGAUAAAAGUUGCCUCGAGGUCCUCUUUCAGCGGGUUCAGCAGCUCUUCCCCUUUACAGGAGCAGAUGGCAAACACACCUAUCCCAUAAGAGCAUGCGCAGAAGGUCAUCCUUCCCGCCACCGGGUCUUUGCAGUCCCGGUCCUUCGGCCUCGGGAAACACCGCUAGCCGGGGCUGCAAAGGAGCGUGGCUCUUCCCCAGGUCCCGGGAGUCCUCGGCUCCAAGGAGCUUGGCCGGGGCGGGGCCCCGGCUCCCAGGCCUCCCUUGCAAGUAAGAGACAAAGCGAGCAGCUGCACCUAACCGCGCAGCUUUGCUCAAGCCACAGGGACCGGCCUGCCCUCAACGACGCCAGGCGGCCUGGCGCGCCCGUUCCGGAUUCAGCGGCCGGAAAGACAGCUAAGCCUCUCGGCGGCCGCAUCCGCGCGUCCGGGUGGCGAUCCGGGAACCCUCGCGCCUGGACCGCUGCAGGCCCCUUCGAAGUGCUGCUUUCUCUUUUUGGCGGGCUCAUGCUCCAAGCUUAGAGCCGCAGCUGCGGAGAGUCGCCGGGAAGGCGGGGGGAGCUCGCGUGGAAGCCUUUUUUCGGCGCAAGGGGAGGCCGCCGGCCAAAGGACCUCGUGCAGCAGCCCAGAGGCGGGGCGCCCUUGCUGGCGAAGACCACCCGCCCCCGAGGCGCCUUCUGCUUCUUGCCCGGCGACCGCGGGUGACUCCCCGCCCUCUCGCUUGUGCGCUACCACGGCGACUGUUCCUCAUUGUCCGCACUGCCCGUCGGCGUUUGCUUUCCCUCUCGGUCUGGUCGGGCCUGUUUGGUAUCUUACGGCAAGGCCCUCGCAUUUCCCCCUUUUCUCUUUGGGGCGAAAUCUCUCUGCUCUGGUAGAACCUCUUUUAACUGCGGGGCUUGGGAAGACUUCGGAAGCGUAAAGAAUUCACAGGCGCGGAGAAAUGGGAAAGGCGCUGGGCUGUCCCGCGAGCCCGUCCACAAAUCUAUGGGCAGUCAGGCUACUGCCACCUGCGAGACAGAAAAUGUCUGAAGGAUGUGGAGGAGGGAGCAUCAGAGCGAUGCUACAGUUCUAAAAAAUAAAACAGCCAGAAUAUAGGGCUACUGCAGAAGGAAAUGAGCUGGUCGCUAGGAUUCGUGUGGCUGCGGGGGAUGGUAGUGGAAAAUCGCAGCUCUCUUGAGUUAUGCAGCACUGGGAUGAUUUCUCUCUCGCUUUCAAUUUCUCUUUCUCUUUAUUCACCCAGAUACGGAGCCUUGUUCCAAAGGCAACGUUGUCCAAAGAGGAGGCCUGGAGCAGAAACAAAUAAUAACCUCCCCCUCCCUGAGCCAGGCUAUGUAUAUUCGGUCAGUUAAGAAUAGAGCCGCUGCUUGCUUCUCUGUCCCGAAUUCCUCCAUUCAGAGUUGCAACAGAAGGGCAGAAAUCAUCUAAUUGUGCGCCCUUGUUUUCUCCUCGUCUUUUCCCCCUUUACUUCCCUUCCCUUCCCAAAAAAUCCCGCCCCACCCCCUUCUCUGUUGUGAGCCUGGUAAUGACAUGCAAGGACCGGCUGAAAGACAACCAGACAUCAAAGCACAAAGCAAAUGACAUUUCCCCCACGUUGAUAAGAAAGUCACACUCCGAACUUUCUUUUCCUUCUUAAAAGGGACUCCGCCAUCCGAAAAGGUGGCAUUUGGGGGUCAUGUUAUGCAGGUUGUGUAGGUUCUGCACAAUCCCAUUUAUAAAGAGACCGUGUCCAGCAGGACCUCAGAAAUGUAAGGAAUUUGGGGACCAAACAACAUUUAUUGGGGAUAAGAGAGCGUAUGUCUAUGUGUGUGGGGAGGGGGGCGGGCAGGCGGGUGGAGAAGACACACAUUUGGAGCUGAGAUGGGACUAAUUAUCGAGAUAGAGAACAAGGAGCUGGAACACCCAAGUCGAAGUGAGCUCGUCUCCCGGGAGACUGAUGGAGACCUAUUUUACAAGCUGUAAUUCCGCUUUAGAUGCUUGCAAACUAAAGUCAAUUCACACCCUCUUCUUUAUUCUAGAAAUAUUCCUAAUCCUGCAGUUCAAGCGGGAAUCCUCUGGCUUCUUCCCUCCUAAUAUUAAUCUAGAAACUUCAUGAAAGGAGGCUUGAUUACGGGAGGGUGGAAUCACUUUCCUUCCCAGUUUAACUACCUCGGCAACGUCUAACCUUCCGAUGAAUAGAUAUUAAACAUGGAGAAACAUCCUGCGCAGUUCUAUGGUCUCUUGAUCUGUUAUCCGUUUGACAGGGUCAUAGCCAAUUAACAGUGUGGGGAACCCCUCAUAUAUUUAAAACAAAAGCAAAGUGAGAACACUGCUUUUGAUUCCAGCAUUUUUCAGGCAGUACUUUGGAGUGAACACUUGGACAUUUUCCUUUGAUUUUGUCUUAAUGCUUUAUUUAUAUUUAUAUAAAGUAAAGUAAAAUGGAAUGAUUCAUGUGGAUGCAACUAAUGUAAAAAAUGAAUACAUCUUUUUUAUUGCCAAGACCUAGACUGCUUUACAGUACAUUGCAGUAGGUUCUGUGGACAGCUGGUUAAGUAAUCUGAUCAUAUCUAUGCUCACUUAAAAGUAAGCAUCCUUGUUUUCAGCUGUAAAUAUAGUUACAAGACUUGAACUCUUAGUUGGGUAUAGUUUUUAGGUUGGAGUUGUGUACCUUUGUACUGCAUUGCUAUUUUUGAUUAACAAAAUCAACAAAAAGAAGUGACAUUCAUGUUGUUUAGAAAAUAAUCAAAAUGCUUGCCUUCUUUUAGAAUCUUUAGCCUUCCUCUGAUGGUUUAAGCCUUGCCACAGCAUAAAUAGGCAAUUUAAUUUCAUUGAUACUUAUGGACAGUUGGCUUAGUUAAUUUGAUAAGACAGAAAAUAAUGAUAAAUGAAAGAGUACGCAUGCAAGUAUGUAUUCAGAAAUCAGCAGAUCUGCAUCUCUUAUUUUUUAAUACAACAAAAAUAAAAUACUUGGCCAGAAACAAUAAUUGAGGAGUACACACAGUAUGAGUUCUAAAGGCGGGGGCAGCAUUUGAUUACAUCGGGGUAUUGACAUCUUCAUUCUAUUUUCCAAAUCUUUGAUAGGUUAACAUGUAAAUAGGAAAAGUAGAAAAUCAUUCUCUCUCAGAAAUGAGGCCAUACCAAACCAGCCCUUAACUAAUAGAGACCAUUCCAUUUUUUAAAUAGAAGUAAUAAAAGUUUUCUCUUCUAUGGGGCUUUAUUUUUCAUCUCUCCUUCUCUCUCCAGCCUUGCAUCUUUCCUUUAAUUUGUUGCCAGUUCUUCAACCACUAGAGAUAUGCCUCUAGCAACAGCUUGAUCUAGAGCAAGCUAUUAAUCUCUCUCUUUGCUGCAGAUCACACUGCUGUUAAAGGCACAGCUGCAGAGUUCAGCUGAAGAGUUGGUGGUGGGAAUCCCAGGCCCAUGUGAGAUUAAAUGUUGAUGACCCUUCCAAAUCCAGGUUUUUGGAUUAAGAGUAGCAGGCAACAUAUUAACUCAGAAGUUCAACCAUAUAUAUAAACGAUAUGUAAAGUCUUAUAAUUAACUUUCCUGCUUCACAAUGAAUAAUUGACUCACCACAAGGAUUCUGGAUUCAAUUUUGUAAGGUCUCCCUUUGCCAUGUUGUCCAUUUGUACUACAACUAUAUGCUUCUGAACUAUAUUACCUGAAUUAAUUUGGAAGAAUAUUCCACAAAAAUCAGUAAACAUUUCUAAGUAAUACUUUAAAAUUAAGCCAACUAUGCCAACUUUCUUACCUGUAAAAUAGAAUUCAUCCAAUAUGUUUGUUCCCAUAAUUGCUUUCUUACCAUAUUUCCUACAUGCACAGAACACUGGCAGCAAUCCAAAGUCCAUUUAUCUGGGAUUAAACCUUACUGAUCUCAAUGGGACUUGUUUUUGAAUAAAUAUGCCUGGGAUCCCUUUUCGCUGGAAAAUCUUAACUUUUCCCAUAAUCUAAAACUCCAAGGUUGGUGUGGGAAAGGAAGAGAUGCCAGCCACAAAUGGAGGUCUGACAUAGAUUUAAGAGCCCAGAUUUGUUUCAGAGGUCAACAAAGUAAUCAUCAACAGCCCCUUUGUGUUUAACAGGAUUACUUAAAGCUUGAACAGGAGUGAAGUCUAGAUUAUAGUGGCAUUGUAGCCGAAACUGGCAUAGCAAAAAAACUGUGGCAUCUUAAAUGCUAACACAAUGACAAUAAGAUGAGCUUUCAUGGAUGGACCAAAGCUCUUUUUGUUAGAUGUAUGAGAUAUCAUCCCAAAUUGGCAUGUGGGACUAUCUGAGCGUAGAAGGAAAAAGAGUGUAACAGCAGUGAAAUCGAACAGGAAUGAUAUGCAAGAAAUGCAUGCAGUGAGAAUUAUGUUAAUUAUUAUAUUGGUGUAAAAUACAGCCAAAAAGAUGAUUGAACUAAAAGAGACAUAUAUGUUUAUUGAGACUUAUGUGGCUGCCAAUUAAAUAAGUGGGCAUAAUACUUUGUAAUCUGAUGUCCAGCAUUAUUGCUACUAUAAUUUUAUUUCCAGUUACUGAGAUCAAGGGGAAAAUGCACCUACUUUUGAAUCUUUAAAGCGUUCUUUAUUUCCUCAAGUGUAUGCCUUGCCGUUUCUGGAUUUUUCUCUUUUCUUCCAGUUCUUUCCAACCUGGAUGGGAAAAUACCAGCUGCUAGGAAUUACCUGGUGUUCUGGGUGCUUUAAGAGGCUGAUCACUUCACAGUGUGUCCAAUCAAAAGUCUGUGGGCCUGCAGACAAUUUUCAGGACAGCCAGGCACAACUCAGGGAAGAAGGGCAAGGCAAUUAUUUAAAAACAGUUUAGAUAAAGGCAUGGAAUCAAGAGGUUUGGGUAGCUGGAAAAUAGCAUUUGAUAGAAAAUGUUUUUGUCUUCAUAACUAUUGUCUUAGAAGCAUCUUUUUCUUUUAUAUAAGCAAUUAGCCAGAUUUUUUGAUGCAGGUGUGGUAAGUGAAAGCCAAGGAGCUAAGGGGAGGUUUGAGUACUUCAGUAAAAUAGGUUUUUAAAGAAAAGCAUAAGCAAUCUUUAGUUCUAAGAGUUUCAAAAUAUAAUUAUUUCUUUUAAGAUCACACCCACCAUAAACCUGCCAAAUGAUGAUUGAGCAGCAUGACCCUUCAGAUAUGGGGUUCCAAUUUCCACUGAUCCCUCCAACAAAGUCUGGAUUCUCCAUCCCAGGAGAAUUCUCAUCCUAAUUCCUUAUUCAUAGGAACAUUCAAAAGGCUGCUCAAUUAGUAGAUAUAAAUCUAAAGUUUAUAUAAUGUUGGGCUUAAAAUGCAUAUUAUAUGUCUUUGCAACUUUUGCCCUUCAAGAUAGACAAUAAUUCAAUGUAACCAUUUGCAGUUUUCUAAUGUCUACCAUCACAUAUCAAGAAAUCCUCUCCCACUUAAAUAGACUCUUCUGAAAAAUGGUGACUUAGGCAUGGGCACAGGGAUCUGUGUUCCAAGAAUUUAAGGAUGAUGCGCUGGGUAAUACUCUUAUUUCCGCAAGAGAGUCUCAUUACUGCAUCUCUCUCAAACCUGCAAGGUUGCCUUUGGACAAGCCAUAGAUAGGCCAGGUCUGAAUCCAACGUUCUUGAGCAUAAUCCCUCAUGUCAGUUCUGCAGGGGUCACUGAUUGUGCAUUUGGGUUGCACUAGUAAUUUAGAGACUGAAAUAUUUGAGGAGAGAAAGAACUUGAUAGGUCAAGCUGUGACCUCCCAACUGUGUUUGUGAACCUAAUUGGAAGUAAACAAGAUGUGGGUUGCAGUUAAGGAGAGCAGACUGAAUUCUUUCCAGUACUUAACGAGGCUGCAGGCCUAACCUUACCUUGGAGUAAGUGCCAUUGAGCGAGUCGACCAGCCUGCGAUGGUCCCCCAAGGAGGGAUCGCCGCACGCCACCUUUUCCGGCCCUUGGCAAGAGUUUCCCUGCCCCCGGCCGCGAAAGACUCCCCUUUCACCGCGGAUCAACCAAUGAAACCUGCCCCAAGGCCCAAAAUAAGACGCCGAGCCUGCCUUCGUGCCAUCAAGCUGCUGGAAGCCAUUUAUCUCAGGUGCCUUUAACCUGUAGUCAAAACGUGCUGCCAGACUCAUUUAGGGAGGUCAGCUCGGUAACCUGAGAUGAGGCUCCACUGAUGGUUGAGAGCGCCCUUCAGAUUCCACCCUUGCUUGGUAAACAAGGCCGAGGAACUGCCCUCCCUGCCUUCCGCCCCACGGAGCCACUUGCAGCGAGCGAGCACCUCGCCUUAUCUCGGAGGUCGCGCCUUCUUCAGCGUCUCGGGCGAAUUCCUAGGCACCGGCGGGGGAGGGAGGCAGGGACGCGAGAGAAGAAGCGAGGCGGCGGGCCCGGAGCCCUGGCGGAUGGCCGUCCCUGAAGUUCCGGAGGUCUUGAGCUGGCUCUUGCAAGAUGGCUGAGCAGGCCAUCUUGCAAAAGAAGCGCUUAGCGGGUGCCGGCGCCUGCGGGCCUGUGGAGCCGCGCGUACCUGGAUCCGGAGAAGCCGGCGAAAUUGAGCUGCGAUCCCAAGGAUUUAGGCUUGGCCCAACUUUGCCAGCCUAAAUUACAAGAAUAUGAAUUCAUUUUACUUCUGCCCGGACCGCCCUGUAUUUUGCGAAGGCUUAAUACUAAUUAAGGCUGUUAAUCGAUUGAAGAGUUUGUAAUGGAUUAAUCCCCAGCGUUUAAAUCUAUACAUUAUAGUCUUAUAUCUAGAAACAUUUGCAAACUACCCAAACAUCAGUUAAGAUGGCUUUGAGAUGAUAAUUAAUGGUGCAACCUCAUCAGUGUAGAUUUGGUUAUUGGAAAUAAUGUCACCUUGAACUGAGAAUUUCUCAACAGGCAUGCUACACAAAGAAAAUAUAACACUCUUUAAAAAAUGGCUUCCCAUUUUUAAUAUUUUUUAGAUCUUCCUGGACAAGUUCAGUAAUCUUCCUCACCCAAUGUCAGCAGACCCAGGUCCCACUGAAUGCAGGGUGGCCAGGUUUAGACAACAGAGAUGCCACUGCCAUCCUAGGAAAUCAGGCUGGCUUCAUGGUCUGUUAGGACAGAUGCUGAACCAGGGGUUUGCCUCACGGUUAUCUUUGGUGCUUGAGGCUUCCCUUCUGUUGAUAUGAAAGGAUGAUGGUGAAGAUGUUCCUAUGGCAUCUUGGAGAGGGGCAAGAGGGAUUGAGACCCAAAUGUUUUUCUGGGUCAGUGCUUUUGAUGAGGCAUGGUCUGGCAGAAUCCAGUGGCUCUCUACAACAAAGACCUUUGAUUCACUACUGGAAGGAAAUUCCCAGCCUUGAGUCUUGCCUUCCAAUGCAAAAGAAAAUGAAUUGGAGUCCUGAGGAGCAAAAGUGAAGCAGAAACUUGGAAUGAGAAAAGAAAGAUAAGGGGAAAGGAUGGAUGAUCAGUGCUCAUCUUUUUGCAGUAGAAGAGUACUCUGUUGACAGCAGAAAAGCCAUGGUGUUUAAUUCCUGUGGUAUCACAGGCUGAACUAUUUUGAUAAAGUAAUUGAUGGGAGACUAAUGACAGAAAUACUGACUAUGGAAUUCAGUCACACUGACUGAAAUGAAUAAGAGAUUCACAAUCCAAUCUCUAGUUUGGCACUGGAUUGAUUCAUACAUUACAUGAAGCCAUGGUAGAAUAUUUUAGUUUUCUGAAUAAGCCAUAGUGGCUAGAUUCACCCCAUGCACAAAUCACCUGAUGGCUUAGGGUGGUGAUAUGUGAACCCAGUCAGAGAGUGACACAAGGUUGCAAUAGACCAACUAGUAGCCCAAUUAGCUCAGUGGGGCUUCCAUAUAUCUGUAGACUCUCCAGAGUUUCAGACAAGACUCUGACGCUGAAGAGUGAGCCCAGGACUGUGCCAAGCAUCUCCUCCCCAAAGAGAUUUGCAUUAAAAUUGCUUUAAGAUGCCUUCUAAAUAAAUGCACAUCAGGGUCAGCCCUGUGAAUCCCUAAGAAGGGCUUUUUGUGUUUGCAGAUGUGGCAAUGGGGAAGAAGGCUGCCCCAUUUCCCAGAUGAUGGAACUACAAGGCUUAAGCUUGGUUCCAAGUUGGAAAAGUCUCCAUCUGGCAUGAUCUGAUGUGAAGGAAGAUCACAGAUGUAAAAGCUUUGAAGCAAGUUACAUACAUGCAGCUCCUGAUAAUCCUAAAGGCAGUCAUAAGAGCAGCUGCCCUUACUGAGAACCCACAUUCUGACCUCCACACCACCUCUACCACUGGUCUUUCCUGACACUCAAAAGUCACACCUCCCCAAAAUGGCCAACAGAAACCAAAUCUCAACCACCAGGCUCCUUCCUUCCCCUUUCAAGAUCCUUCUUCAUGCAGUGUUGUUAGGGGGAAUCCUGUGGCCAGACUCAGCUAGUUCAACUCUUCCCCCAGUAUCUUGAUGCUGUUCCAAGUGCUUUGCUGGGUGAGGGUUGGGAAAGAUGGCUACUGUUGAUGGAGGGCCCCAGAGUUGGCUGGUUAGUUGUGGUGAUGUUAGGGGACUAUUGGGCAGUGUUACAGCUGACUGCAUGUGUUAGUGCCAUUACCUGGCUGGAACACCAGAUAUUGCCUACUAAUCUGAAGACCUACCUAUGGUCAAAAAGCAGAUACUUAGAAAGCUAACCUCUGCCACUAGCUCAAAGUCAGAAGGGAGGCUGGAUGCUAGCAUAUGCCAGCCCAGCCCUAGUCUAAAGACCACUAUUUUGAAGGGCUUUGAGGGACUUGAGAGAAAGACACGUCUUGGUUCAGGGGAAUAUACUUUUGUUUUCCAAAACUAUUUCCAGGAGAAGCUUAUCAAUAGCACUGUCUGAGACACCUGGUUCAACUUCUCAGAAAAAGCCUAUUUGUUACUGGUUCAAGACUAGGGAAUGCAGUGAGGCAGUGACAAAAAGGCUCAAUGUUUACUGUAGAAACCAAGCAUGAAAUUGAAUGUUAACUAUUUCAGAAAAAAAAAUGCAAAUCCAAUUGAAAACAAAGAGGCAAGAACGAUUUAGAGGUAUCAGCUUAUGAAGCUCCAGUCGAAAUGUAUUAUUGAAGUUUUGCCUGUGGGAUUUUGAAAAGACAGUUUUACAAAGCAGGCGCAGCCAGAAGAAAUGUGAACUUAAAUAAUCCAUAAAAAAGAAAGAACAUUGCAUGUUUCAAAUAACGCACACUGAAGUCUCUUGACUUAACUAAGUGAAACGGAGGAUCUUGUUAACUCUUUCACUUACAUAUCAAUAGGGCAGGAUUUUUUUCUGUGACAUUAAAUAAAGUUUGAAGAGAUCACCAAGAGAUGCAAAUGAAAAAGUCUCCUGGCAUCUUAAAAGAAUAACGUAUUCAUCACUGCCUAAGUCGGAGGCCAUUUUAUUUGGUCAAAUACCCAAUCUGAUGAAGUGGACUCCAGGAUCAGAUACAGGUAGCAAGCAUCCUUUCAUUGCUGGCGGAUUUACUAACUGUGGCUGCUAAUCUAUCUACCCAAUGUGGAAAACUGACAACAUAUGCCUUAUUUCUGAAUAAACAUGAAUAAGACCAAGUUGCAUAUUAUUUUCAGUUUUUAGUAGUUCUCAUUUAGUAUUGUUAAGUUGCGCCAUUUUGGAUCAGCUCUUCCCUCUAAAGCUUGUUUCAGUUGAAGUGUUGCUUGUCAAGCCAAUAUUGGUAUCUGUUAUACUAUUUCAGUGGCACAGAGAUGUCCUAAUGCUUGGAGUGCCAAAAUGGCCUGUUAUUCUUUAUGAACCUGUACAGUAAGGAGCAUUGUACCAGCUAUUGUCUCAACAUAUAUCAAUGUUCUAAAAACAGAAAGAUAACUAAAAUUUAGGACAGCCAGUAAGGAAACUUGCUUUCCAAUAAAUCAUACAACCAACAAUUUAGAGAUUGGGGAUCACUCUAAUUAUGAUGUUGACGGGAUUUGUGUGUGUGUGUGUAAGCAUUGCUCAAGAUCACCUUUCCUUAACAAUCCGACCAAUGUGCAAGUUAAUUUGAUAAAGGUUCACUAAUGUAUUGUCUUCCUCCUCCAGCCUCCAUAUAACUAGCAGGGUGCUUAACAUUGGAUCAUGCUUGCUUCUUGGAUUGUGAGGAUAGUACCUUAUACAGUACAGUACUUAUGUAGGAACAAUCCUCAUUGAAUUUACUAGGGGGCAAAUUACUUCUGGGCGGAUAUACAUAGGGGCAUGCUGUAUAUUCUGUUGAUUUCAGUGGGUCU